UACGAAGGGGGCUAGCGUUGUUCGGAAUCACUGGGCGUAAAGGGCGCGUAGGCGGGCCAUCAAGUCUGGGGUGAAAUACUUCGGCUUAACCGGAGAAUAGCCUUGGAUACUGAUGGUCUUGAGGGAGAUAGGGGUGCGUGGAACUUCCGGUGGAGCGGUGAAAUGCGUAGAUAUCGGAAGGAACGCCGGUGGCGAAAGCGGCGCACUGGAUCUCUUCUGACGCUGAGGCGCGAAAGCUAGGGGAGCGAACGGG
This 253-nucleotide ribosomal RNA is filed under the name uncultured bacterium. RNAcentral's name for it is "partial 16S ribosomal RNA". It matches the Rfam family "Bacterial small subunit ribosomal RNA", at positions 524 to 776 of the family's 1533-position model. The record is from RNAcentral.